UGGGGAAUAUUGGACAAUGGGCGAAAGCCUGAUCCAGCAAUGCCGCGUGUGUGAAGAAGGUCUUCGGAUUGUAAAGCACUUUCGACGGGGACGAUGAUGACGGUACCCGUAGAAGGAGCCCCGGCUAACUUCGCGCCAG
RNAcentral lists this ribosomal RNA (139 nucleotides) under uncultured bacterium. Its description in RNAcentral is "partial 16S ribosomal RNA". It matches the Rfam family "Bacterial small subunit ribosomal RNA", at positions 355 to 511 of the family's 1533-position model. The record is from RNAcentral.